RNAcentral lists this ribosomal RNA (589 nucleotides) under uncultured Thelephoraceae. Its description in RNAcentral is "eukaryotic LSU rRNA". The stretch from base 153 to 307 matches the Rfam family "5.8S ribosomal RNA". The record is from RNAcentral. Lineage: Eukaryota; Fungi; Basidiomycota; Agaricomycetes; Thelephorales; Thelephoraceae.
UGCACACUCUGUUUACACAUCCACUCACACCUGUGCACCCUCCAUAGUUCUGCAGCCUGGGGGCUCUGUCCCCUGCCGUGGUUCUAUGUAUUUACACACACACUGUAGUAAAGUCUCAUGGAAUGCAUACCGCGUUUAACGCAAUAUAACACAACUUUCAGCAACGGAUCUCUUGGCUCUCGCAUCGAUGAAGAACGCAGCGAAAUGCGAUAAGUAAUGUGAAUUGCAGAAUUCAGUGAAUCAUCGAAUCUUUGAACGCACCUUGCGCCCUUUGGCUAUUCCGAAGGGCAUGCCUGUUUGAGUAUCAUGAACACCUCAACUCUCAUGGCUUUGCCAUGAUGAGCUUGGACUUUGGGGGUCUUGCUGGCCUGUGGUCGGCUCCUCUCAAAUGAAUUAGCUUACCAGUGUUUGGUGGCAUCACAAGUGUGAUAACUAUCUACGCUUGUGGUUUUCCACCAGGUAACCUUCAGUGAUGAAGGUUCGCUGGGGCUCAUAAAUGUCUCUCCUCAGCGGGGACAGCUCUUUGAACGUUUGAUCUCAAAUCAGGUAGGACUACCCGCUGAACUUAAGCAUAUCAAUAAGCGGAGGA